This 1520-nucleotide unclassified non-coding RNA is filed under the name Penaeus chinensis. RNAcentral's name for it is "uncharacterized LOC125037165, transcript variant X2". The record is from RNAcentral. Lineage: Eukaryota; Metazoa; Arthropoda; Malacostraca; Decapoda; Penaeidae.
UAUAUUACUCAAAUACACUGUUCUGGUUUUACAAAACUGUUCUUUAAAGUUUGAUGAUACUUAAAAUUAAAUAAACACGAAAGCCAGGCGGUCGGCAACAUCUCUGUUUAAAGGGCCUUCCAAGUUUAAAGGGCAGAAUGGGGCGACAAGCAAGUAACAGCAAAUAAUUAAGAUUUUGAGUGAAAUUGAGCCUUUUUCUGGCGGAGUUUGCAGCUUUUCAUGAACAUCAGGAAGAGAGGAAGGAAAUGAAAAGCAACCAAGUUGAUGGAGUAGUUUGAAUGAGGAGAAAAGAGGUUGUAAAUAUGACGAGUGUGAUAGGAACGAAGUUUUCUCUCUCUUGUUUCUACGGGAAGGAGGAAAAGGUGAGAAUAACAAGGAUACAUAUUUAAUGUUUUGUGGUAGAUCAUGCUAAAAUGACCGCGUCGUCGACAUUAAUUAAUAACAAAUCACCAAAUGAUGUACAGAAUGAGAUUAAAUGUUUUGAAUAAAUCACAUGGGAUGAAAAAGGCAGCCGGGACAGCUAUAAGGAGAGGCCGAGGGAAGAUGUCGGUGAAAUAUGACGAGCUCAAAAUGCUGGACUCCUUUUAUGCAACUCCAUCACAUGUAAAACCCAAGGCUAGUGCAUCUCAAACUACAGAAAAGGAAAGUCAGACAGAACUCUAGCAAGAAAAACAUCGAAGCACGAAACCCCAGACCCUCAAGACAAGUAUCAGCAGCUGCCUCAGAGAUGGCUUCUUUGCGACACCUUCAGAUGAUGACAUUGAUGAGACUCUCCCUGACCGCCCCAAUUCAGUUAAGAACCAAAUGAUGUACAAAGCAAGAUUAAAUUUUCUGAAUAAAUCACAAGGGAUGAAAAAGGCAGCCAGGACAGCUACAAGGAGAUACCAAGAGAAGAUGUCAGUGAAAUAUGACGAGCUCCAAACGCUGGACUCCUUUUAUGCAACUCCAUCACCUGUAAAACCCAAGAAGGUCAAACUACAGAAAAGGAGAGUCAGACAGAAGUCUAGCAAGAAAAGCAUCAAAGCAUGAAACCCCAAACCCUCAAGACAAGCAUUGGCAGCUGCCUCAGAGAAGGCUUCUUUUGCAGCACCUUCAGAUGAUGACAUUGAUGACACUCUCCCUGGCCUCAAUUUAGUUAAGCUUAACCCAUAAAGGACACCAAUGUUCACAACUACAUUUGCCUACUUGAGUGUGCCGAAGGUACUGAAGACUCUGAGGGCCACUGCAGCGAAGGCCACAGAGCAGGCCAAGGCAACAAAGGGUCUUCCACGCACACUGAAGCAGAACCUAGAUGAACUUGUGAAGCCUGGAUCUCACCUUAAACAGUUUCUUAACAGUAAAAUAUCAGAAGAAAAUUGAUUUAAAGAUUGUAAAAGUCUAGUCAUUUAAUUUUAUUUCCCCCAUUUGUUCUCUGUUAGAUAACUAUAGUGUGUAUUUUCCACCAAGUGCCCACAGGGAGUGUGUGUAAAACUAUCAUUACUCUAGUAUGAGUAGAUAAAUAAUGUCUGUGGAGCUAGUGA